UCCCGGAGGAACCCGACAAAAUCACUGU
RNAcentral lists this non-coding RNA (28 nucleotides) under Bombyx mori (domestic silkworm). Lineage: Eukaryota; Metazoa; Arthropoda; Insecta; Lepidoptera; Bombycidae. The record is from RNAcentral.